This 306-nucleotide ribosomal RNA is filed under the name uncultured bacterium. RNAcentral describes it as "partial 16S ribosomal RNA". It matches the Rfam family "Bacterial small subunit ribosomal RNA", at positions 507 to 807 of the family's 1533-position model. The record is from RNAcentral.
GACAGCAGCAGCCACGGUAAUACGAAGGGGGCUAGCGUUGCUCGGAAUCACUGGGCGUAAAGGGUGCGUAGGCGGACUGAUAAGUCAGGGGUGAAAUCCCAAGGCUCAACCUUGGAACUGCCUUUGAUACUGUUUGUCUUGAGUUCGAGAGAGGUAAGUGGAACCGCGAGUGUAGAGGUGAAAUUCGUAGAUAUUCGCAAGAACACCAGUGGCGAAGGCGGCUUACUGGCUCGAAACUGACGCUGAGGCGCGAAAGCGUGGGGAGCAAACAGGAUUAGAUACCCGUGUAGUCCCUGUCUCUUAUAC